Molecule: long non-coding RNA, 2620 nt
Organism: Alligator mississippiensis (American alligator)
Lineage: Eukaryota; Metazoa; Chordata; Crocodylia; Alligatoridae
Exons: 2
Source: RefSeq, a predicted model, not a curated record
UGCAGGCACCUGCUAAAACAUGCAUUUCUCCUUCCCUUGUGGCAUCCCUAAUUCCACACACUUGGUCAGGAUUUCACUGACCUGCAGGUUUUGCCGUUCCUCAAGCUGAAACAUGUUGUCAGUGUCCAAAGCCUCCUGCCCAACACAACAGCUUGUAGAAAUACAGAUGACUUCCCACUGCGGGGUUUGAUCUCUGCCCUGCUAGCCCCUCAAUACCGUUCAAAUCUCUGUUCAAGCAUUUCCCAUUCUCCCUGUUUUCCCUGCCAGAAGCAGACCAGGCGGAGGUUGCUCACACCCAGUUUAGUUUCCUGGUCCCCCUUAGGCCGCCCAGGGACUCUGCUAUGGCUGGAGCUGUGACCACAGAUCUGCAUUGCCCUGCGCUGCUGUGCAUGGACGGGCCUUUCUUUCCCUCCCCGCAUUGCUCACAGCGCAAGACUGAACAGCAACACGACGACCGCUGCUCCUUCACUCCGCACUUCCCACCCCACGACCUUCUUGUGGGAUCGGGACAGCCGCAGAGUCGGGAAGGAACAGCCUCGUCGUAUUGACGGUCGGGGAGAGCGGCUUCGCCUGCAGCCCAGCUCUCAGCCUCACAACAGCCCCCUGUUGAGAGACCGUCUCCAAACGAUAAUCUUUGGCUUCCACAUCCCUACAACCCUGGUGUUCCCUGUACAUCCCCCUGGACUUUGCCCCGUUCCUCCUGGCUGCUCCCUGGGCUCCUGCACCUGGGACUUUGCCCUCCUUCCCUGAGUUGCCAUCCCUGGGAUUUCCACCUCCCCUGUGUGGAUGGGUCUGUCUGUGCCCGCAAUGGCACCUGCCCUGCCUGUGUCACCCCCUCCCACACCCAGCCCAGCCUCUCCAACCCUUCCUGCACCAACAGACACGUCCCCAGCUCCCAUUUCUCACCCUGUAACUGCUGGUGCCAGAUGAUCAUGGGUAACAGCCCUUACCCCUUGUGCCCCACAGGGACCUGCCCCCAGUGCCCUCCUGGCUCUCCCACAGCCUCGUCACACCCCAGAGCACCCCAAGUCCUGGCCCCUUUGAGCUCAAACCCUCUCAGCUGUCACAGGCCACCAGGUCCAUCCAGCCUCCAGUGCCUGGGCAGCCUCCUCCCUGGGACAGGCAGCGUGAGGGCAGGAGAGGAGACACAGCUGAUUUCCAGCUAGGGAGACCGCCUGUUCCUAAUUGUGUGGGACAGUCCCAGAAUGGGGUCAGCGAGUCCCAGUCCCGGGUUGCACGACUCCAACUCAGCAUUUCUUCCACAUUUGCAUCUGGGAAAGAGCUGGUUAGCUGUGGGAGCAGGUCCCUGAAGUGUAUUCCUAGAAGAUUUCCUUGCUGGCGGGAAAGGAGGCCAGGCUCCCUGGCUCCAGUUCAAACAGCUGCCUUUUAGUCAUCGCCUUUUCAUCAUGUAUUCAUCUGGUGCAACAGGAGCACCCAAACGCAUGGUUCACUGCUCAGGGGCAGGUCUCUCCUCCUGAAGAUGCAGUGUUUGUUGAUAGCCAGCCACUCCUUCGUCUUUCUUAAAAGGAUACUGUGGGAUGGGAGGUUGUUUCAUGCCAUGUGAGGUGUUGGCUCAGGGGAUUUCAGUAUGUGACUAUGAAAAUGUUCACCUCUGGCUCAGGGCUGGGGUCCCAUGCAGGUCAAUGAGACCCCAAAGGCAUGGCUGUGGGCCUUGUUGUGGUGCUCUGGGAAGCGUCUUGGUGCACUUCCCUGUGGACAGGUGUCCGUCCUGAAAGGAAAAGCUUGCCUGGCAUGGCUGAUGCCCUCACCGCCAGAGACGCCUGUGAUUGGGUGAAUGACCCUCAGACUUAAUGACUAACUGUCGAGUAUGAGGUUUGCUGGCAAAGGCUGUGGGGAAGCUCCUGCUACUGGGCUGGACAUCUGUGACUGAGAGACGUCAAACCCCAAGGCUGCCAAGCUGAUCAUCUGUUCUCCUUUCCCCUCUCCUGUAAAAAGAGAAAAAGGAGGGGAAAAGCAACCACAAUGUCAGGGGGUGGACAGAUCUGCAAGUUCAAAGCCAGGAAUUUACCACUCUUCAGCUGAAUUGACCUGGUUCGACUGUCCCCUCCUCUCUUGCUGGAAGUACAAGGUUAGCCCGUGUCACUCAGGGGUAAGCUGCCCUGGUUCAAGUUACCAGUGUUUAGCUUCACUUGCUCUGUGACAGGAGCAGACAGGUGACGCCAGGACAAGAGAUCACCUGAAUCGUGAUGGGAACACCUCUUCUCACCCUGCGUCCAACAGUGCGCCCGUUAAUCUGUCCAUAGCCAUAGUUUCCUGGUGUAAGCUUCCUUCAUACGGAGGCAAAGCUUUGGGGAGCACUUUCUGAAGUCAAAGAUUUAAACAAUUUCAGCCCAACAAGCCUCGUCUCACAAUUUUUCUGAGUUUGUUUGGGAAGUCUGAGCGAGACCCUUCCAGCUCUGCACGAGUUCGGCAUAGAUGCCAGUGUUUUCCUAAGUGGUGAUUUUAACUUGUCCUGGUUGUACUUCUCCCCAGGGAUGCUUGGGUUAAAAAAAAGUGCCAUUUGAUUUAAGAAAGUACGAAAUAUCUGGAAAUGACCUGUGAGCCUGCCCUGUAAAACACUUCCUUAUGCAUACUCGAAUGAAUGGUCUUCUCUCUUGCA